RNAcentral lists this ribosomal RNA (301 nucleotides) under uncultured bacterium. Its description in RNAcentral is "partial 16S ribosomal RNA". It matches the Rfam family "Bacterial small subunit ribosomal RNA", at positions 509 to 807 of the family's 1533-position model. The record is from RNAcentral.
CAGUCGCCGCGGUAAUACAGAGGGUGCGAGCGUUAAUCGGAUUUACUGGGCGUAAAGCGUGCGUAGGCGGCUUCUUAAGUCGGAUGUGAAAUCCCUGAGCUUAACUUAGGAAUUGCAUUCGAUACUGGGAAGCUAGAGUAUGGGAGAGGAUGGUAGAAUUCCAGGUGUAGCGGUGAAAUGCGUAGAGAUCUGGAGGAAUACCGAUGGCGAAGGCAGCCAUCUGGCCUAAUACUGACGCUGAGGUACGAAAGCAUUGGGAGCAAACAGGAUUAGAUACCCGAGUAGUCCCUGUCUCUUAUAC